RNAcentral lists this ribosomal RNA (497 nucleotides) under uncultured bacterium. RNAcentral's name for it is "partial 16S ribosomal RNA". It matches the Rfam family "Bacterial small subunit ribosomal RNA", at positions 28 to 507 of the family's 1533-position model. The record is from RNAcentral.
GAUGAACGCUGGCGGCGUGCCUAAUACAUGCAAGUCGUGCGAACAGAUGAGGAGCUUGCUCCUCUGACGUUAGCGGCGGACGGGUGAGUAACACGUGGAUAACCUACCUAUAAGACUGGGAUAACUUCGGGAAACCGGAGCUAAUACCGGAUAAUAUAUUGAACCGCAUGGUUCAAUAGUGAAAGACGGUUUUGCUGUCACUUAUAGAUGGAUCCGCGCCGCAUUAGCUAGUUGGUAAGGUAACGGCUUACCAAGGCAACGAUGCGUAGCCGACCUGAGAGGGUGAUCGGCCACACUGGAACUGAGACACGGUCCAGACUCCUACGGGAGGCAGCAGUAGGGAAUCUUCCGCAAUGGGCGAAAGCCUGACGGAGCAACGCCGCGUGAGUGAUGAAGGUCUUCGGAUCGUAAAACUCUGUUAUUAAGGAAGAACAAAUGUGUAAGUAACCAUGCACGUCUUGACGGUACCUAAUCAGAAAGCCACGGCUAACUACGUG